UACGGAGGGGGCUAGCGUUGUUCGGAAUUACUGGGCGUAAAGCGCACGUAGGCGGCUUUGUAAGUCAGAGGUGAAAGCCCGGGGCUCAACCCCGGAUGUGCCUUUGAGACUGCAUCGCUUGAACACGGGAGAGGUGAGUGGAAUUCCGAGUGUAGAGGUGAAAUUCGUAGAUAUUCGGAAGAACACCAGUGGCGAAGGCGGCUCACUGGACCGUUGUUGACGCUGAGGUGCGAAAGCGUGGGGAGCAAACAGG
Molecule: ribosomal RNA, 253 nt
Filed under: uncultured bacterium
Lineage: Bacteria
Description: partial 16S ribosomal RNA
Rfam family: Bacterial small subunit ribosomal RNA
Source: RNAcentral